Molecule: ribosomal RNA, 461 nt
Filed under: Pseudopanolis heterogyna
Lineage: Eukaryota; Metazoa; Arthropoda; Insecta; Lepidoptera; Noctuidae
Description: partial 16S ribosomal RNA
Source: RNAcentral
UGCCCACUGAUUUUUAAAUUAAAGGGCUGCAGUAAUUUGACUGUACAAAGGUAGCAUAAUCAUUAGUCAUUUAAUUGAUGACUUGUAUGAAAGAUUGGAUGAGAUAUAAACUGUCUUUUAAUUAAAUUUAGAAUUUAAUUUUUUAAUUAAAAAGUUAAAAUAACUUAAAAAGACGAGAAGACCCUAUAGAGUUUAAUAUAUAAACUAAUUAAAAUUAUUAUUAAAAUAAAUAAAUUGAAAUUAAUUUAUAUAUUUUGUUGGGGUGAUAAAAAAAUAUAUAAAACUUUUUUUUAAAAAAUACAUAUAUAAGUGAGUAUUUGAUCCAAUAUUAUUGAUUAAAAGAAAAAAUUACCUUAGGGAUAACAGCGUAAUUUUUUUUUUUAGUUCAUAUAAAAAAAAGAGUUUGCGACCUCGAUGUUGGAUUAAGAUAAAAUUUAAAUGCAGAAGUUUAAAGUUUUUGA